ACGAUGGUUGCCAUAACCCUUGAGUCUGAGGUAGAAAACAAACACAUGAAAAGUAACAAUAUAAAGGAUACAGAAGAUACGAAGAAGACGAAAAGUGAAACAGAUCCGAAGCUGCCACUCGUUACAAGUCAGGGUCCCAAGCAGCCUGAGUUAGGAGAGAAGCUGCUGGGUGAUUCUGGCGAGUCGUCUCUGCCCAGCAAAAAGACUUACAGGCCAUUAUUUGAAUGGGCCGGUGCAGAGAGAAGAAUGUCAAGCUCCAGAACAAAGUCAGAUGUCACCAUAGCGCACCAGCCAAUCCAGGGAUCGUCUCUGUCUGAGCAGAAUACAACUGCAACUGCUGGAUUCCCAGGACAUCCUGCCAGCACAAUAAUACCCAAGCCCCUCAAAAGCAAACACGACAAUGUCCCCUUGGUGAUUAUGAGGGCGUCAGACCUGUUGAAUGCCUCCAGUGUCUGUGGGACCGCACCUUCCCUGAGGAGAAAGCAGCAGGGACUCUGGGAAGCAAUGCAGGAGACCUGCAGAGAGAGAAGAGCAGCAGAUAUGGAUGGCAGAGCUCCUCCGCCAAGCUGUUCUUUUCCAGCCUCCAGCACAGGCAGCAAACUGUCAUGGCAAACCACUGCAGAGUAAGUAUGCUUGUUCUUUAGAAAGAAGACACCAUCAUUUGAACCAGAAUAAAUGGUCCACUCAAUAGAAAUUGUUUAUUUGUUUCCUAUUGUCAUAUUUGAGUAGAAGCCUGCCCUAAAGGUCAAACCCAUAACUUCAGGCACUUUAUGGAAACUUAGUCAAAGUAAAUAAAAAAUAAUCAGCAAAUUUCAUAGCUCAUAUCUUUGUAUCUACACACCGGAAUGAAAAUGAUCUUUACUAACAUUUUGGCCCAUUCAGUAGUUAAAAGUAUUGACAAAAAACAAGAGUUGUUUUUUGUUUUUCUUGGUUAAAAAUUAUAUUUUAGAAGUUAUUUUAGAAGUUUUAGAAGUUUUCUUAUCAUCUUAUCCUAUUCCAGUGUUUUUCUAAUUUUUGCUAUGUAACUUUGCACUGUCCACCUUCUGCUGUAACAAAACAAAUUUCCCAAUAAAGGUUAUCUUAUUAUCUUAUCUUAAACAUUUUCAUUUAAGUGCAUUACUUCAGUCUAAUGUUAAGGAGAAUUUGUAUAGCUUCAUUUGAAAUGUGUAUUAUUACAUGAGUAAUAAUAUGAUUACUGACUACAAACAAGUUCAUGCUAGUGUUUUCCUUGAAUCAGGUGUAGCAGAGCUCCUACCUUAGCUGCAGGUCCUAGUUCAGAGUCCGACUGGGAACUCUCCUGCUCCCAGGAGAGGGACGACCAACAGGAAUCAUUCAGGGCGCAGAUCUCCAAAAUCGAACAGUUCCUCGAGACAGAGAGGCUCCGUCUGCCCAAAAGACGACGAACUGAACCAAAUCUGUAGAAACUGCUGGUCGUCUUUAUUUGCUGUCCUAGGUGAGACAUUGUGUGGCACACGUUUGACAGUUAUUGUUAGCGCAGGUUUAAAUGUUCUGAAACACGAUUGCUUUUUAAUAUAUACAUGUGUUACUGAUUCCUUUGAACUGUAUAGUUUCUUCUAACAUUGCUGUUUGAAGUUUAAAGUUUUUGGGUUAAAUCAUUAACUCUUCACUUUAUUAUUUUAACAUUUCUGUGCUUUAAAUGGAAAACGGCAGAGUUUGUGUGUUUGUUUCACACGUGCGUAUUUGUAUGUUUUUAAGUGAAGAGAUGAAAAUAAGAUAAGAUAGCCUUUCUAAGUGAUAAAUAUACAAUACUACUACUGCUAUGUUGGAAGGAUUUUAUUUUAUCACACAGUUGCAUGUGAUUAAAGUAAUUUUAUAAAGGCUCCAAUAUCACCAAUGUAAAAAUCCAACAUUUCCAUUCUCUUGUCAUUUAAUUAAAUUACAGGGUUAUGAGUUGUUUUCAAAAUAUUGUAUGUAAAGACUUAGAUAGGAUGCACUACAAGCUUCUGCAGCCUCACUGACACAACACUGACUCAUCAAACCACACAAACAGGACAUCAGUAUGUGUUGCAUUUCUUUUACUGGAAACAUUAUUCACAGUAAAUCAUGCAUUUCAUAGCAAACAGCUGGAUAAGUAAGGACCAAGAGCGCUGUUGCCCAUUAAAAAGGCUGGGAACAUGCUAAUUAACAUUAAUUAACAUCAUAGCCAAUCAGUGUGGCAUGUCUCAGAGGAGCUCUAAUUGUGGAGGCACCUUUGGUCUACACCAUGUUGUUUCUGCUGCUGCUGUUGUUGGAGGCAAUUACAACUCGGGACACUCUGGUUCGACUGUGUUUACACCUAUUAAAUUAAGGGAAAUAACAGUUCAGAUAACAAUUAGCACUAAAUACCCCAACCCUAAUUAACCAAAAAUCAAUUAGUGAACAUACAGUCCAAUUAACACGUUCUAACAAGCCUCUCGUUAACUUUAUGUUCCCUGUGAGGAUGAUGGCGGAAAGAGCAUAUGGCCCCACAAGAGCAUGAAGCAGCUGACCACACAUGUUUGGAUUCUCAUUAGUCUGGUUGCUGCUUAUGUACUGUAGACGUGUGGCAUUUGGCUUCAGCUCACUCGCCUCAGGUUAGUUUAAGUGGGUUUGAGAGUGUUGGACAAAGAGGUUUUUGUAGUAUAUAGACUGUCUAGAUGCAAAUUUCUAUUAGCAAACGGAUCUAUUAAUACAUCUGACUGACAUCAGUGCAGUUUGUAGCCCUAAUUUUCAGCAGUCACAGAGGUACACGAUGCUUUUUUACAGUAUCACCUUCAGAAGACGGGAUAAUUUCAAAAUUAUAAUGUGCUGUUACGCAUUUUUGACUUGGUGAUAAUGUGAAGACAUAAAAAUAUAUAUUCACUUUUUUAAAAUUAUUUUGUUAUUACUUCACUUUUUGGUAGGUCACCAUAUUGAUGCUAAAAAUUAUAUAUAUCAUAAUAUAUUUUUAUAUAGCACAACAACAUAGUUUGUAAAUAUAAUGCAAACAUAAUACAUAAAUCUAAUACCCAUCCAUCAAUUUUUCAGCACUCAUGUAGGGCCAGGUCACUGGGGCGACGGUCUAAGCGGAGAAGCCCAGACCUCAUUAUCUCAACUGCAUAAACAGAAUAACGCAAAGUUCAGUGUUGCAAUGCUUCCUGUUUAACUUCUUACCUGUGCCUGAAAUGCAGCGAGUCAACAGAAUUGUAUGACACUGCCUGAGAGCAUCAGUCAUAUAUGGCUAAUUGUUUUGUACCAACAGCGCUAAGGGUCAUAACAUAGAUUCUGUCAUUCACCAGCUGUAAAUCCGAUACACGGGACUUUGAAGUACGUAAAGAUAUAGUUUUGCUUUCAUUACUGUCCUUUGACACUAUACUGUGAAACAUAGGUUAGCAAAAGUUAACCAUUUGGCUGUGGUAGUUGACCCUUAUGACAACCCCACGCCCCACGCCUCAGAGCAUGCCUACCAACAGAUCCACAGCAGACCUUGUUGACGUUAUAAGAAAAGACUCGAGUUUUCACCAAAUUUCUGCUCGCACGCUAAAAUUAACAGCUAACAUUUCAAUGGUGGUAAAAUGGCUCAGCUUGAUCCAUCUUACUACACUUACUGAUAAUGAAUACGCGUGAACCUUAAUGCACUCAUAAAGAAACCUGGAGCAUUUGAGUGGCUGUGCCCACCACUGCUGACCCUUAUCCAUAUUGGGAGGAAGGGAGAGGAUGGGAGGAGAGGUGGGGGAGGUAUGGAAUAUAAAAGAGUUAAUUUUAAUGCACUUGUGCUCGCAAAAACUCAUACACGAUCUAUAUUUCUCACUCAUACAGUUUUGCCUCUCCUCUUUUACAUAAGCAUGCACAUGGCCACAUACACACAUACAGUCUCUGUUAUGAAGUGUUGGCACUUUGAAACAGUCAAUUACCCUCUGGCUAGGGAGGAUACCUGCUGUUAAUUACUGCUCAGUGUUUUAUAUGGAGCGUAAAUAAAGAGACCGCUGACAUUCACAUUCCAUCAAUGCAUCCCCCAGCUCACACUGUAUUGUGUGUGUGUGUUAUUUGAUUUUAAAAUAACCCUUGUGAGGUAGGAACCAUGGGGAAAAAAGCAUUUUGGAAAGAACGGGUACAAAUCCUCCAACCUGACCAAAAAGAUAUGCUGUUUCCCCGUGAAUUUGCCUUAUAAUAGUAAAUCCUGAAAUAGUACCCCUGCACAGAUAUGCAGUAUAAUAUAUGCAGUUAUGUCUAUGAAGGUUCUCAGUCAUCCAGGUCAUCGUAGUCAAAGGAGCUUGGAAAGAAAAGCGUCUGGACUUCUUUAAGUUGCUUGAAGACGUUUCACCUCUCAUCCGAGAAGCUUCUUCAGUUCUAGGGUCAAAUGGUGGAGUUAAGAUUUUGGUUUAUAGUAAUGUUGAGCUGGGGUUGGCA
Molecule: long non-coding RNA, 4368 nt
Organism: Oreochromis niloticus (Nile tilapia)
Lineage: Eukaryota; Metazoa; Chordata; Actinopteri; Cichliformes; Cichlidae
Source: Ensembl